GACGAACGCUGGCGGCGUGCUUAACACAUGCGAGUCGAACGGAAAGGCCCUGCUUUUGUGGGGUGCUCGAGUGGCGAACGGGUGAGUAACACGUGAGUAACCUGCACUUGACUUUGGGAUAACUUCAGGAAACUGGGGCUAAUACCGGAUAGGAGCUCCUGCUGCAUGGUGGGGGUUGGAAAGUUUCGGCGGUUGGGGAUGGACUCGCGGCUUAUCAGCUUGUUGGUGGGGUAGUGGCUUACCAAGGCUUUGACGGGUAGCCGGCCUGAGAGGGUGACCGGCCACAUUGGGACUGAGAUACGGCCCAGACUCCUACGGGAGGCAGCAGUGGGGAAUAUUGCACAAUGGGCUGAAGCCUGAUGCAGCAACGCCGCGUGCGGGAUGACGGCCUUCGGGUUGUAAACCGCUUUCGCCUGUGACGAAGCGUGAGUGACGGUAAUGGGUAAAGAAGCACCGGCUAACUACGUG
RNAcentral lists this ribosomal RNA (468 nucleotides) under uncultured bacterium. RNAcentral describes it as "partial 16S ribosomal RNA". It matches the Rfam family "Bacterial small subunit ribosomal RNA", at positions 28 to 507 of the family's 1533-position model. The record is from RNAcentral.